UUCAGCCAAAUCCUCAGAAGACUGUCCAGGCAGGUGCCAGGUGCAGAGCCGAGACACAGCAAGAGAAAGGGGCCCAGUUGUGUCUCCCAGGCCAGGAUCCAGGACAACAGUGGCCCUUCAUGUUCCAGGAAGCCUUGAGCAGCCGGCAGAUAAAGUCCACGUGCAAGAGUUGAGGUGGAGUGAGGCCCGUCAGCUGGGCGUGAGGUUGGACAGUCGUGGACAGGAGGAAGCCACCGUUCUGUGAGUGUUCAGUCCUCACGUGAACCUGGAGAGCGUCUCCCAUGAGCUCAUUCCACAGGGAAGGAGACGAGGCUAGGAGAAGCCAUGCCAUCUGCUCAGGUCACAGAGCCAGUGGGGUGCAGCUGGGCUGUGGAGCUGGAGCUGCCCUUCAGGCCUGGAUGCCCCCCAACCCCCGUCUCUGUGACCUCGAGUUCCUCUGGGCCACAGCCAGGAGACACUGGUGUUCAUGUGACGGGGGCUCUGCUUUAUGUUUCAGCCUGUGGAGCUGUGUUCCCACAGGUCCCAUCAUGAGGCCAGAGGCCAGAGGUCAGAUCAGAACCUUGGGCCUGAGUCCAAGGGGAGACCCUUCCACCCACUGCACGUGUGGCUUGCGGGCGUCCUCGUGUCUGUUUCUGCAACCCGGAGCCUUUGUGGUCAGUCCUCGAGGCUAGGCCCCUCAGCCCUCUGGCUUGCAUAGCAUCGAAUGACAGAAGCAGCCACUUGGAAGGAACGCGUGUCCUCUCACAUGGGUCUCCUCCUGACCCCCACCGUGGAUGCUAUUAGUACCCACGUUGUGCAGGUGGGGACACUGGGGUAUGGCAGGUGAAGUCAUUCGUCUAGAUCAUCCUGGGGGGCUGGAGCCAGGUUCCUACAGAGGCGAUCCCACUCCAGAACUCCUAGGGUGCUGUCCCUCCAGCCCUGCAAUGUCAGCUGUGGAUGAGCAGAGCCCAGGGCUGUCUCCACUGAGUUCCAGGUGUCCUCGUGGAUGCCUGGUACACAGCGCGGCUCAGCAGGUAUCACGAAAUGACAGACUGACUGUCACGGCCCUGCCAAGGACGCUCUGGAAGAGCUGUCACCUGCAGGUCCCCUUCUCUGGCCCUCUCUCUGGAGCUCGCCUACGUCUGUUCCUUGACACCGUUUAUGGGAAGCCGUGUUAAGUUUACAGCCUCGUGAGCAGCGGCUCCGCGGGGUCCGUUCCCACGUCGGCUGCCGCGGGAUCCUGGCAGCUUUUUUUGGGUCGUUCAUUUCCCCUGCGUGGCGCUGAUGGCUGCCCCAGACCCCUCCUGAGACGUGGACUAUUUUGCAUUUGUAAGCUACCACCUUUAUGGAAAAGGCCUGUGGGAUUGGGGUGUGCCGUGACCACUUGUUCCCCUGCAGACAGUGUCAAGGCCACCUUCACCUGAAAAUGAAAGCACGUGACCAGCAGUGUGACAUAGAGAAUGUCCUUGUGGCACUGGAUGUUCACGCAGGACUCCAGUGAGGCUGGGUGUGUGAAGCACACCAGGGGCAGGGGGUUGCUGAUGCCAAGGAUUGUC
Molecule: long non-coding RNA, 1535 nt
Filed under: Marmota monax (woodchuck)
Lineage: Eukaryota; Metazoa; Chordata; Mammalia; Rodentia; Sciuridae
Source: RNAcentral